This is a long non-coding RNA of Fopius arisanus, 401 nucleotides long. RefSeq lists it as uncharacterized. The record is from RefSeq and is a predicted model, not a curated record. The transcript has 3 exons. NCBI's taxonomy places the organism in Eukaryota, Metazoa, Arthropoda, Insecta, Hymenoptera, Braconidae.
GCCGAAACACGCAAAUGUCUCUCAUUUAGCAAAGUGCAUAAUUUUCGCGUUAAAAGUAAAGCAUUCUGUCCUGUCAGUCAGCAACUAGACGCCACUGCGCUAUUCCGUAGAGGGGAAGGAUACACUAGAUACAACCCUCGUCGACGCUCAUCAUUAAGAGGGAGUGAACGGUUGGAUAUUACUCCAAGGAAGAUCAUAUUGAGAAAUUACAUUGCCCUCGACAGGAUUCUAAAGGCUUCAAUCAGAUUAAUUAGAUUAACCAAACUUAUCAGAUUAACCAGAUUAACCAGAUUAACCAGACUUACCAGAUUAACUAGAUUCAUAGAUCAUCUAGGUCCGAUUAAUUAAUCAUAAUCAUUUCAAUUGAAUCUAAGUGAAAGAUAUAACUGAUGUAAUUAUAA